AUUGAACGCUGGCGGCAUGCCUUACACAUGCAAGUCGAACGGCAGCACGGGGCAACCUGGUGGCGAGUGGCGAACGGGUGAGUAAUGCAUCGGAACGUACCUUUCAGUGGGGGAUAACGUAGCGAAAGUUACGCUAAUACCGCAUAUUCUGUGAGCAGGAAAGCAGGGGAUCGCAAGACCUUGCGCUGAUUGAGCGGCCGAUGUCAGAUUAGCUGGUUGGUGAGGUAAAGGCUCACCAAGGCGACGAUCUGUAGCGGGUCUAAGAGGAUGAUCCGCCACACUGGAACUGAGACACGGUCCAGACUCCUACGGGAGGCAGCAGUGGGGAAUUUUGGACAAUGGGGGCAACCCUGAUCCAGCCAUGCCGCGUGAGUGAAGAAGGCCUUCGGGUUGUAAAGCUCUUUCGGCCGGGAAGAAAUCGCACGGGCUAAUACCCUGUGUGGAUGACGGUACCGGAAUAAGAAGCACCGGCUAACUACGUGCCAGCAGCCGCAGUAA
RNAcentral lists this ribosomal RNA (498 nucleotides) under uncultured bacterium. Its description in RNAcentral is "partial 16S ribosomal RNA". It matches the Rfam family "Bacterial small subunit ribosomal RNA", at positions 30 to 523 of the family's 1533-position model. The record is from RNAcentral.